UCGCGUCUGCCUGGGUGUCACGC
RNAcentral lists this non-coding RNA (23 nucleotides) under Gossypium hirsutum (cotton). Lineage: Eukaryota; Viridiplantae; Streptophyta; Magnoliopsida; Malvales; Malvaceae. The record is from RNAcentral.